This 466-nucleotide ribosomal RNA is filed under the name uncultured bacterium. Its description in RNAcentral is "partial 16S ribosomal RNA". It matches the Rfam family "Bacterial small subunit ribosomal RNA", at positions 28 to 507 of the family's 1533-position model. The record is from RNAcentral.
GACGAACGCUGGCGGCGUGCUUAACACAUGCAAGUCGAACGGUAAGGCUCCAGCUUGCUGGGGUACACGAGUGGCGAACGGGUGAGUAACACGUGGGUGACCUGCCCUGCACUUCGGGAUAAGCCUGGGAAACUGGGUCUAAUACCGGAUAGGACCUUGGUGUGGAUACUGUGGUGGAAAGUUUUUGCGGUGUGAGGUGGGCUCGCGGCCUAUCAGCUUGUUGGUGGGGUAAUGGCCGACCAAGGCGGCGACGGGUAGCCGACCUGAGAGGGUGGACGGCCACAUUGGGACUGAGACACGGCCCAGACUCCUACGGGAGGCAGCAGUGGAGAAUAUUGCACAGUGGGCGGAAGCCUGAUGCAGCGGCGCCGCGUGGGGGAUGACGGCCUUCGGGUUGUAAACACCUUUCACCAUCGACGAAGGGUUUCUGACGGUAGAUGGAGAAGAAGCACCGGCUAACUACGUG